Molecule: RNA transcript, 2982 nt
Organism: Panicum hallii
Lineage: Eukaryota; Viridiplantae; Streptophyta; Magnoliopsida; Poales; Poaceae
Gene name: transmembrane protein 185B-like
Exons: 15
Source: RefSeq, a predicted model, not a curated record
CGCAAGCCGAAACGAGCGGAGGAGGCAGGCGAGGCCACGGCCCACCGUCAGAUCACACACACACACACACACACACACACGAACACGCACUCCUCAGACGCGCAUUCAUGGCACGGGGAGUAACGGGCGAUGCCGCGGGAAGCAGCGCCGCCGCCGAGCGUGGGAGCGGCGCGGAGCAGGGGAGCGGGGCCCCCGCGCCGGCUCAGGUUCCGACGUGGCAGCGGGUGCGGAGGGCCGGGCAGGGGGCGGUGGCGCACGCGCUGCUGCUCUGCUUCACCGCGCUCCUCGCGCUCAAGCUCGACGGGGUCGUCUCACUGUCCUGGUGGGUGCUUUUCAUCCCUCUAUGGUUGUUCCAUGCUGUUGCUGCUCGAUGUCGAUUCUCGUUACCUGCUCCAUCAUCAUCUGAAAGUUGUCAACGGGUGCCAUGCCAUUCCAUUGUCGCCACACCUUUGCUAGUUGCUUUUGAGCUGCUUCUCUGUGUUUGCCUGGAAGGCCUCAAUGGUCAUGGCGAACCAUUCAUAGAUUUAAAGCUUGUCUUCCUUCCACUCUUGACUUUGGAAAUCAUUACACUGGUUGACAAUUUCAGGAUGUGUGGUGCUCUAAUGCCUGGACAUGGAGAAACUAUAACUGAAGAAGCAAUUUGGGAGAGGCUUCCUGUAAGAAUCUUAAGAUAUUUCUGGGUUGCAAUUUCCAUGGUGUUUCUACUAGCGGCUACUUCACUCAUGCUUCUGAAGUUAUGUGGUGAUGCAGUUACUCUGGGAUGGUGGGAUUUAUUCAUUAAUUUUUGGAUUUCCCAGUGCUUUGCUUUUCUGGUAUGCACAAGAUGGUCAAAUCCAAUGGACAUUGGUGGCCCUGUAUUGAUAAUUCCUAUAAUAGUUUUCCAAGUUCUUCUUUGUAUGCGCUUGGAGGGUACUCCAUCUAAUGCUCAUUUUAUCCCAAUGCGAGCUAUUUUUCUGCCCAUAGUUUUGCUACAAAUGGCUGCUGUAUCUUUUGCUGUUUGGAGAUUCUUCGACAGGCUUCUUACUAAACUUCAAGAUGGAAUUAUCAGUCAAGGACAUAUUUCUGUGUCCUUAAGAGUUGAUGAGCUGUUUAUGAUGAUACAAUAUGGUUCAAGGUUUUAUAUGCUCUCUAGCUCCUCCACUGGUGGUCUAUUGAUGAAGAUAGCCAAGAGGAACAGGCUCACUUAUGCUAUGCAAAUAAUACUGGCUAUAGUACCUUUUGCAGUUAUCCACCAGAGGUGGUAAAAGAGAUGCCAAAGAAAGUUCUUGUCAAAGAGGUACAGAGACUUCAACUAGCCUUGGAAGAGCAAACUGAAAUGGCAAAUCAUAGCCAACAGCUGUGUGAUAGGCUAAAAAAUGAACGGAUCUUGUGCCGAAUUUGCUUUGAAAGAGAUAUCCGCAUUGUUCUGCUUCCUUGCCGCCAUCAUGUUCUCUGCGAGCCUUGCUCUAACAAGUGCCAGUCAUGCCCAAUUUGCCGAUUGACCAUUGAGAGCAGGUUAUCUGUUUAUGAUGCAGUGCUGUCGGCCAAUCCAUUUUGUGAUGCAGUUUAGAAGUUCCCAUGUUGGCAGCAGUUCUAGGGUACCGACUUCUGGUGUCGGCAAAGAUGGCCCACAAGAUUCCUAGCCAAUCCAUUUUGUGAUGCAGUUUAGAAGUUCCCAUGUUGGCAGCAGUUCUAGGGUACCGACUUCUGGUGUCGGCAAAGAUGGCCCACAAGAUUCCUAGCAGAGGAAGAUAAGUAGUGAAAUUCAUGGUACGAAGUUUGGAAGAAAGUGAGGAUAAGUCUCCUAUUGUCAGAUUGGAGACAAGAAAAAUCAAAAGCCACACUGUACAUUCUUCUGCAGUGAUAUGACACAAAGGAAACAGGGAAGUAUAUGAGGUCUUCAUUUCUUGGAUUCUUGCUCACAUAUAGCAUAGCCGUCUUUGAUUAGUUCCCCAGAAUUUAAAGAUGAACAGAGGAACCAAGAAAACAUGUGCAAACUGGAACUUCAGGUUGUUAUCGGAUGGUCUUUGGCAUUCAGGGAAGAAGCAAAUUUCAAUCUGUUCUGCUUUGACGAGUUUAUGAAGGAUUGAAGGCAAACAAUAAUGGUGCCAUCUUCCCCAAUGGAGUUUUGACGUGCAAAAAGCUUACAUCCAUAUGUACAGAUGCGACAAUAAUGUCUCUGUCAAUUUUAUCUCCAAGGUAUAAGAGCAUUGAGCUUUCUCCUGGUCAUGUCAAAUAAUGAGAGCGUGAGCAUCUAUUGUAUGCGCUUGUCGACCUCAUGCGACUUUCCCCACCAUACCAGAACAUCACUUUUGCAGUACGAGAAUUGGCUCUCAAGUCAACAAUUGUGUCCAGCCACAACCUCACACCUCUUUUGUCAUAUUGCUAUGAUUUCGCAUGUCUUGUGGCCUUCGAUGCUCCGGUACCCUUUGGAGAUCCCUGCCUGGCAUCAUAAGGACAUCCAAGAUUGUGUGCUGGUGCCGAUAUUUGCCAGGAAGUUGCUAGGUGCAUGCUCCGCAUGAUAUGCAAGGAUUGGUCAUUCCAUUUUUGUCAUCCUUAUCCCUGAUGCCUUCAUGUGUAGGUCACCUUUGUUGCUGUAGUGCUGCUUUUGCUACCUCUGUGUGAUGAUAUGUGUCCAGAAUGUGAUGGACAGAUGGUGGCAGUGCUGAUAAGCACGUUUUCUUGGUUACACACAUCCGAUGAAUCAAGGGUUUCUCAACUAUUUUUGAAGAAGUCAGGAAGCAGUCUUUGCUGGUAAACUUACAACCGGUUAUUUUCAAGGCUUUCUUUUUUAUUUUGCAUCUGUUUAGGAUGUGGGUAUCUGAGCUGACUAUCCAAACUAGGUUGUUCACAGCUGACUCUGCGUUGCCGGUUGAGAGAGAAUGUUUUUGCGCGAUAAUAAUGUAAUGUUAUUGUUCGGUCUUCGGAUUUCGAGAUGAAAUAAAUAGAGAAACAAAAACAGCCAGCCCUUUUAUUUUCAGGGCUGAUGCAUGUGAUCCAUUA